CCUACGGGUGGCAGCAGUGGGGGAUAUUGCACAAUGGGGGAAACCCUGAUGCAGCGACGCCGCGUGGGUGAAGAAGUAUUUCGGUAUGUAAAGCCCUAUCAGCAGGGAAGAAAGAAGACGGUACCUGACUAAGAAGCCCCGGCUAACUACGUGCCAGCAGCCGCGGUAAUACGUCGGGGGCGAGCGUUAUCCGGAUUCACUGGGUGUAAAGGGAGCGUAGACGGCCGUGCAAGCCAGGAGUGAAAGCCCGGGGCCCAACCCCGGGACUGCUCUUGGAACUGUGCGGCUGGAGUGCGGGAGGGGCAGGCGGAAUUCCUGGUGUAGCGGUGAAAUGCGUAGAUAUCAGGAGGAACACCGGCGGCGAAGGCGGCCUGCUGGACCGCGACUGACGUUGAGGCUCGAAAGCGUGGGGAGCGAACAGGAUUAGAUACCCGAGUAGUC
This 441-nucleotide ribosomal RNA is filed under the name uncultured bacterium. RNAcentral's name for it is "partial 16S ribosomal RNA". It matches the Rfam family "Bacterial small subunit ribosomal RNA", at positions 338 to 795 of the family's 1533-position model. The record is from RNAcentral.